UACGUAGGGUGCGAGCGUUGUCCGGAAUUAUUGGGCGUAAAGAGCUCGUAGGCGGUGUGUCGCGUCGGCCGUGAAAACCUGCAGCUUAACUGUGGGCUUGCGGUCGAUACGGGCAUCACUGGAGUUCGGCAGGGGAGACUGGAAUUCCUGGUGUAGCGGUGAAAUGCGCAGAUAUCAGGAGGAACACCGGUGGCGAAGGCGGGUCUCUGGGCCGAUACUGACGCUGAGGCGCGAAAGCGUGGGGAGCAAACAGG
This 254-nucleotide ribosomal RNA is filed under the name uncultured bacterium. RNAcentral's name for it is "partial 16S ribosomal RNA". It matches the Rfam family "Bacterial small subunit ribosomal RNA", at positions 524 to 776 of the family's 1533-position model. The record is from RNAcentral.